Molecule: ribosomal RNA, 497 nt
Filed under: uncultured bacterium
Lineage: Bacteria
Description: partial 16S ribosomal RNA
Rfam family: Bacterial small subunit ribosomal RNA
Source: RNAcentral
GAUGAACGCUGGCGGCGUGCCUAAUACAUGCAAGUCGAGCGAACAGACGAGGAGCUUGCUCCUCUGACGUUAGCGGCGGACGGGUGAGUAACACGUGGAUAACCUACCUAUAAGACUGGGAUAACUUCGGGAAACCGGAGCUAAUACCGGAUAAUAUAUUGAACCGCAUGGUUCAAUAGUGAAAGACGGUUUUGCUGUCACUUAUAGAUGGAUCCGCGCCGCAUUAGCUAGUUGGUAAGGUAACGGCUUACCAAGGCAACGAUGCGUAGCCGACCUGAGAGGGUGAUCGGCCACACUGGAACUGAGACACGGUCCAGACUCCUACGGGAGGCAGCAGUAGGGAAUCUUCCGCGAUGGGCGAAAGCCUGACGGAGCAACGCCGCGUGAGGGAUGAAGGUCUUCGGAUCGUAAAACUCUGUUAUUAGGGAAGAACAAAUGUGUAAGUAACUAUGCACGUCUUGACGGUACCUAAUCAGAAAGCCACGGCUAACUACGUG